Brienomyrus brachyistius is the source of this 480-nucleotide long non-coding RNA. RefSeq lists it as uncharacterized. Lineage: Eukaryota; Metazoa; Chordata; Actinopteri; Osteoglossiformes; Mormyridae. The record is from RefSeq and is a predicted model, not a curated record. The transcript is spliced from 3 exons.
GCAGGGUGUCCAGUUAACUGACCUCAGGAUCACAUCUUUGUUUUGUUUUUUUCAGACAGUGUGGUCCUGUUGGCUUCAUCGAGCUGUGAUCUCCAGUGUGCAGUGCUGCAGUUCACAGCCAAGUGGCCGGGAUGAGCAUCUGUACCUCCAAGUGGAAGGUUUCACAGGUGGAUCGUGGAGCCUCCGCAGAUAUGUGGACACUGUACUGGUCUGUCGUCAUGAAGAAAGAGCUGAGUUGGGAGAUGAAUCUGGAUCCAGCCUUUCCACAUGGCUGGCUGGAGCAUCAACGUCGUUGUGCCAGAGCUUCUGUCAGGAACCUGGACGGAUUUGGAGCGAUGGCAAGGCAUGGUGCAGGCAGUUAAAGCUCUUCCAGCCGUCCGGAGCAGCACUUACGGCGAGAGGUACGAUGUUGAGCGACACUCGUGGACGGCAAAAAACACGCCCCUGCCCGCUGGAGCCUCAGCCAGCGCCGAUGUAUGA